UUGCUCCCUGUGCAAGUUAAGUGUGUGUGUGGCUUGCUUCCUGUGUGAGCCAUGCUUAGGAUAGGUUGGCCCGCGUGCCGUUUAGCUAGAACCAUAACUUAGGGUUGAUUUUGCAUGACAACAUCUAGGCUCGAGUCGUAGUCUCCCUAGAGUUGUGUCUCCCUCUGUUAUCUGGUUAGGCUAGUCCUUUAUCCCUGCGUAGGGGAACUACAUCG
Molecule: long non-coding RNA, 215 nt
Filed under: Lathyrus oleraceus (garden pea)
Lineage: Eukaryota; Viridiplantae; Streptophyta; Magnoliopsida; Fabales; Fabaceae
Description: Pisum sativum (pea) long non-coding RNA (PSAT_LNC022701)
Source: RNAcentral